Molecule: non-coding RNA, 21 nt
Filed under: Arabidopsis thaliana (thale cress)
Lineage: Eukaryota; Viridiplantae; Streptophyta; Magnoliopsida; Brassicales; Brassicaceae
Also listed under: 1 other name
Source: RNAcentral
UGACUCUCUUAAGGUAGCCAA